UACGGAGGGGGCAAGCGUUGUUCGGAAUUACUGGGCGUAAAGGGCGCGCAGGCGGCUGCUCAAGUCAGGCGUGAAAGGCCUGGGCUCAACCCGGGAAUUGCGCUUGAGACUGGGCUGGCUUGAGUGCGGGAGAGGAUGGUGGAAUUCCCAGUGUAGAGGUGAAAUUCGUAGAUAUCUGGAGGAACACCGGUGGCGAAGGCGGCGUUCUGGACUGCUACUGACACUGAGGAACGAAAGCCAGGGGAGCAAACGGG
Molecule: ribosomal RNA, 254 nt
Filed under: uncultured bacterium
Lineage: Bacteria
Description: partial 16S ribosomal RNA
Rfam family: Bacterial small subunit ribosomal RNA
Source: RNAcentral